RNAcentral lists this ribosomal RNA (259 nucleotides) under uncultured bacterium. RNAcentral's name for it is "partial 16S ribosomal RNA". It matches the Rfam family "Bacterial small subunit ribosomal RNA", at positions 524 to 776 of the family's 1533-position model. The record is from RNAcentral.
UACGGAGGGUGCGAGCGUUGUCCGGAUUUAUUGGGUUUAAAGGGUGCGUAGGUGGCUAUUUAAGUCAGUGGUGAAAUACAGCCGCUCAACGGUUGAGGUGCCAUUGAUACUGAAUAGCUUGAAAAUAAUUGGAGGCUGCCGGAAUGGAUGGUGUAGCGGUGAAAAUGCAUAGAUAUCAUCCAGAACACCGAUUGCGAAGGCAGGUGGCUACGAUUUAUUUUGACACUGAGGCACGAAAAGCAUGGGGGAGCAAAACAGG